GCCUACGGGGGGCAGCAGUAGAGAAUCUUCCACAAUGGGCGAAAGCCUGAUGGAGCAACGCCGCGUGGGUGAAGAAGGUCUUCGGAUCGUAAAACCCUGUUGUUAGAGAAGAAAGUGCGUGAGAGUAACUGUUCACGUUUCGACGGUAUCUAACCAGAAAGCCACGGCUAACUACGUGCCAGCAGCCGCGGUAAUACGUAGGUGGCAAGCGUUAUCCGGAUUUAUUGGGCGUAAAGGGAACGCAGGCGGUCUUUUAAGUCUGAUGUGAAAGCCUUCGGCUUAACCGGAGUAGUGCAUUGGAAACU
Molecule: ribosomal RNA, 305 nt
Filed under: uncultured bacterium
Lineage: Bacteria
Description: bacterial SSU rRNA
Rfam family: Bacterial small subunit ribosomal RNA
Source: RNAcentral